Molecule: long non-coding RNA, 14743 nt
Organism: Hipposideros armiger (great roundleaf bat)
Lineage: Eukaryota; Metazoa; Chordata; Mammalia; Chiroptera; Hipposideridae
Exons: 4
Source: RefSeq, a predicted model, not a curated record
UUUUAAGCCUGGCUGGGAAGGGAAGUGGCGGGGUCGGGGAUUGGAGGGACCCCUGGAAGGAGCAGCUUAUGGCUUCACACUGGGAAACUCAGAUCCUGGCUGCUCCCAAGGUAAGUGGAAAUACAUGGCAGGCUGAGGGGACUGUCUGGCGGGCCCUGUUGAAACUGAGCUGAUCUUAGGCCUUGUUAAUAACUCUCAGGGGGAAAGGAGACAGCUCCGAGUGGAAACGAGGCAUCUGCCUAAAAGCCCCCCAGGACUGCUAAUCAAGUCCCAGUGGCGAAGUGCAGUGAGACGAGUGGAGAACAGAGAAAUCCACGGGAGCUGAAAAUAAGCCCAGACCACCACUCCCAGCUCUGAACUGACCCAACGGCUGAGAAAACCCGAGUUGAUCCAGGGGAGUGAGUAGGUGCUAGGAGUCUGUAUCGUCCUCUGCUGGAUGUUUCAAGGCUCCUAGUGCCUCGGCGCUCAGAGCUGUGCCUGGUUCUGACUUUGGGAUUCAGCUCUUCCGAUUCACUGGGGGUGGGAAGCAGGGAGACACACACAACAGCCGAGGCACUCGCUCCAGAGCGGCACACUUCGGUCUAAGUUCUCUACCCUUCCCCCAUUUUAUAGGUGAAGAAACUGGGCCAUAGAGAGGUUCCUGGUCCAGGCAACGCGGCUAGGAUGCUACCCCACGUCUCUAACUCCCAGGGAGCAGCUGGGCCGCUGCUAAGAUACUGUGUGGGCAGCAGGUACCACCAGCUCUUCCAGGGCCCAAGAGCAAGAAAGCCUGGCUCCCCACCGAAGGCCGGCCUGGCCACGGGGACAGGAGUAGCAGUGGGCCGCCGCUUGUAAAUCCAGACUGAUGGCGUGCAGGGAGAGGGCGGGCCCUGGGUUAUGAAAUGAGGCAGAAACACCCGUGCCUUUGCCCACAGCUCUCGGCUUAUCUGGAGGGUGGCACUCUGGUCCAGGGCUCCAAGGACACAGCCUGACGAGAGACGAGCAGUGGGAAGAGCUGAGCUUUGGAUUCCAGCUGCUGCUGCCAUUUGGAAGCGCUGUUCCCUGGGCAUGGCCUUAGAACCCCGGUCUGUGAUGCCCACGCAGGGAACAGGUGCGAGGAUUGAGUGAGGUGUGUGAACAGCACCUGGUCAGCACCCAUCGCUCACCACUCACUGUGCUGGGUUCAAGUUGCAGCUUGUGUCAAGUUUUUGCACCGUUAGCAGAGAGGACCAUAAACAGGAAUUAGGACUUGGCCCCUCAUCCCUUUGCAUAAAGGCAAGAUCCUGCCACGUAUACCGAGCCAGAGAGUCAUAAGUGCCAGGAAAGGGGUCGUGCAUUUGACCUCUUUCAUCGGUCAGAGCCUUCAUGUAACUAGAGCAGGUCCUGCAGAGAACAGUUCAGCCCAGUGCUGCUUAAGACAGAAGCUUUUAUUUUUAUUCAUCCAAAUGGGGAAAAUGCAACAUGUCAGGGCAUUACAGACAAACUGCAGCAGCCAGACAAGAGGCUCAGUCUAUGGCAGAGUCCAACAGUCAGUGCGAAGGCGCCCGGUGCGGGCGCUGCCUGUGGGGGUCGGGGUGGCACAGAGUCCCUGUGGAUGAAGGCCAGGCAUCAUCUCUGGGCGAGGCACUGGUGACAGUCCACACGUGCAGGCUGCUGCUUCAGCCACGCCGAAGGUUUCAAGUUCAGUCUCCAUGAAAUUGCCCGAGAGGAAGGACAAUACAUGGUGGUCGCAGUUUCCAAAGUUUUUUAACAUAAUACACAACAGUUAUUGCCAAGGACUUUGCACUGCAAAUUAUACUAUUUACACUUGCGUAUUCAGAAAAACACAGUAAAUAGAUACAGAUAGAUAUUUUAAAUAGAUUUCUAAAAACUACCUUGGCCAUCACCAAACCAGAGUGAGUAAGCUACAGCCAGGAGUCCAAUGCCGAAUGCAAAACCGUGCAGUAGGGAACUAGACUCAGUCUGCUCCAGGCCACCGUCUCCAACAGCCCAAGGCUUUGGUGCUAGACGGGCGGCCUCCCGCCCUCCCUCCCAGGCAGAGCUCUGCUUGCAGUGGGUGAGAAGCAAGUCUCACAGACCCCUCUCUGGGAAUCUUAGGCAGUGGGGAGAUGAUGCAUGUGGGGGCUGUGAGGCUCACAGGCUGGACCCAGCCCCUGACCUGGCCCAUCCUGCCAAGAGCACCCUUGGGACCAGUGCCCUCACCUCAAGAGACCUGUCUUCUGAAGAUGUAGCUGGGCCCCCAACCAGCCACUUAAGAGACCAAAGGUAUAGGCCCGCAGGUAGGUCCCUGGGGAAAGGCCUGAGUUCAAAGAUCCUUUGGGGGGAAACAAGACGAGCACUGCUAGAAGCCUAGAAGCUGACGUCUGCCCAAGGAAGGUGGCUCAGGGCUCAUUAGAAGACGAGAGGGCCAAGCAUUCACUUCCCCCUCAAGGCCCUGCAAAGGUGGUCUGUCUGGAGGGAGGGUGGAGACAGCGCACAAGGCAGCCAGGGGGCCAUGGCUCCUGGGAAGUGCAGAGGGAAGGCCCUGCCUAGGGCCUGAGGACGCCUGCAGUGUGGCUCCCAGUGGAGUUUCUAGAGCUAAGCCACCUCCCACGAAACCACGGCAGGUAACUGAGCGGGACCACACAGGGCUAGUGCAUGAGAGGCGGUCAGGAGAAGGGAUGUUUGUGAUGGUGGCACAUCAGGGAACCAGGUCACACCACUGUGUGGGCUGUCAUCUCCACCUCGGGUUGGGGCCACAGCACGGGGAGUCGGUGAGAUCUGCUCAAGGGAACCCGGAGAGGGGCGCGAACGCGCCAGGGAAACAAGCGUUCCUGGACCACGGGGUCUUGCCACUGACCCGCCAGACCGAACUCCCCAAGCCCUCGGGGUGUUUGGGAGGAGCAGAGCCCGCCCGGAAGACGGGGAAGAGGCGGACACUUAAGAGUCAACUUUCUGAAUCACAAGUGGAGAAGGGACUACUUAAAGGCAGUCUCCUCCUUACCUGAAACGCCUAGGUCUAUCCUUCAUUCACUUCCAUGAACGACGAGAAAAAGCAGCUGACUUCCCAGAACAGCAGCAAUAUUUAGGUUAGAGUGAAAAAAAAAAAAGAGCUUCCUGACCACCAUCUGUUUCCCCCAGCAGGAACAUGAGACAGAUGGCAUCGCGCUGAUGACCCCCAAGGGCAAAGGCCUUGGGCUUCAGAGGUGACGAUGGUACCUGACUGACAGGGAGCCCCUGUGAGAACAGGGGCACAGGACGAGGUGUCCCGGCCAGGCCCCUCCACCCGGGCCAGGCAUGCCUUUGUCUUUUCUUUCCCACGAGCCCAGAAACGCCUCGAGAAAAACACAAGGAGUGCUCCUUAGACCUCAGACGUUCCUCACCUACUGUCAGACCUUGAGAGCACCCCCCAAAAGAGACAAGACCAGGUGGCAAAAGCCACAAGCCGCAUCUCACAUGAGUGGGAGCCAGACAGGUGCUGUGCCUCGGAAGCACAGCUGCUCAGGUGACGUCCUUCCCUAACCCUCACCUAGUUCUCAGCAACGACAAGCCAGCUUCACUCAGCAGGCAGCGUCCAGUUCCCUAAGUUCCCAGUGGUCUCUGACCCAGGCACCCUCCCAAGUCCACCGGCCCGACGGCUCAGGGCAGCGCCCAGCACCUAGCCUCCUGACUUGGUCCCCAGAGGACCAGUGCGUGUAGGCCACGUGGACCUGGGUCCCAGUACCUGCUACCAAAGCUGCGAUGGGAGAGCCCAGCAGGGAGCUGGGCCAUGGGCAGGCGCCGUUCCCCCCUGAGCUGUAUAUGAGUCUCACCUGCUCCCAUGGCCAGAUGGGGCUUCAAUAAAGCUACCUGUGCAGGCACUCGCAGCACUCGUGUUAGGCCGCCUUUCUCCAGGCCCCACUGGUCCUUCACUGCACACGAAGCACACACCCCUCGCGACUUCCGUUCAGUCAAGGACAGUGUUGGCAGCUCACUGCUGCUCGGUCAGCAGUAGCUCCCAUCACCUAUACACAACCUCUCAGUGGAAGUACUCUGCCCAACGGCGGGCACGUGCAUUAACUGCAUCUUACCACAUGCUCUGCGGGAUGCCUAAGGGCACAGACCAUCACCGCUCCUUGUCCAAGGCCUGCCCUGCCACGUGACUCGAUCCUGAGCCAGCGUGGGCUUCCCCUGGCACUUUUCACCCUCACACACCAAGGCCCCAGGCCAAAAUUAGAUUUGAGGCAGAAUGUUUCAUCUGUCUUGACGUUUUAAAUGGCCUUUAGCACAGCAAAAGAAAAGACAGGAAGAUUUUGUCAAGCUCUGCAUGUUGGAAAGGUGUGGCACUCAGUAGCCCACUAAAGCCAAUGGCCAGAAAAACCACGCAACUCUGGGCCUCCUUCCCACGCUAACACCCACAGUAACCAAACCCUUGGCUAAGAAGUCCAGACUAAACAGAAAGGUGCCAUUUGUAGCCACAGGCCUGCUCACCCAUGACCAGAAUGACAGUUUAAAAAUGUAUCUGUGACCCCUUUACUGGCUCUGCCCACCGAGUGGAGGCCAUGCCCCUUGGCCCGGCACUCGGCCCCUCACACAGACUGUGCCCAGCGUGCCUGCUGGGCUGUAUACAGGCCUAUUCAGCGCACUGUCCCCACCUGGGCCCAUUCCUUCUCGAGCUGCCGCCUCCCUCCGGGGCUCUCCUGAUUGACCCUCAGCCCUCCCAGGGGCCGCUGUCACCUUGGACUUCCCUGAGCCCUGCUCGCCCAGUGCCACCUCUCACUCCAGACCUAAGGUCCUCAGGGGUGAGACUCACCUGAUGCUCAAUGCUCACACAGAUCAGAGGUUUGGGGAAGAUGGAUGCGUGGGCGCCAGCUGCAAGUUUCCAGUCAGAAUUAAGCCAACGGGUGAGUAAUCGCCAGUCUAAGGCAGGGGCUGGCAGAAUGUGGCCCAGGACCUGCUUCUGGAAGUAGAAUCUGUUGGACCACAGCCAGGCUCUUCCGUUCACGUGCCGUCUGGCUGCUCUCCACUCUAAUGGGAGAGCCGUGUGGCUGUGACAGCAAAUGGUCCACAGGCCUGAAAGAUUUACUGUCGGGCCCCUUACAGAAAGUUUGCCAAUACCACCUCUAAGGCAGCGUUCCCACAUAGUUCCACACAAAAGGUCACAUGGUCUGGCGCCCUGAGGGAAACGGACAAGGCCACUUACACUUAGAGACACCGGGCCCUGGGGUUCUGGCUGCCCCCCAAGGCUGCCGGGAUCAGUGUCUCUGCACCUGUGACCUUUCAUAGCUCCAGCCUGAAGCUCAAAACCACAGCUGCCUCGUUAGCCCAAGACAGUAUAGAAAGUCACCUGACUCGUCCUUGGGUGUCCCUGCCACCUCCCAGGAUGAGCCCGAAGUAGCAGGACGGACAGACACACAACUGAGGUCCAAAGCAAAUCCUCUAGUGAUCAUACAAUUUCACAGGUCUUUCCCUCCUUCAAGGACUCUGUAAAGCAAGUCUGCACCUUCCCACUAGCUAAAGAUUUUACAGGCUUCGCAUCAAAUGAGCUCAGCCCUUUGCAGAUGAAAAACCAAAACAUUACCGUCUAAAGAAGCAGAAUCUGUAUGAACGAACACCCAGUACCUGUCAGCCUUUGGCAACCCCAGCAGAGCGGAACCUCAGGGUCAGAUGCUGACCUACCAACCUGUAAACCUAUCUACCCGUGGCCAAAAGACACACUUCCCAAGAGCACAAAAAAGGGGCUCACAGAGCCCCCCAAGAGAGUUGGGCCCACCACACCCCCACCUCCUAGACCAGUGGACAUAGCCCUUGCUCCACUGCAACUCUUCCUGCCUGGUCAGCACCUCCUCCCUUCCCCGCCUUCCUCAUCUUGGUCCCAGGCACCAGCGUCCCCUGAACCGUGGCCCAGGGGAAGGGCUUGCGGAGGCCCCUACUUCCCAGGUGUGGUUCCUUUCCACUCCGUCCCGGAGAAAAGCCUGGCCUGUAAAGACGCCCCAUUCCUGCCGCCUUCAGUCAGCCUCCUUCAUCCCUCAUCUGCCUCCUGCCUCUAAUCGUUCCCCGUCCAAAUCAACCAUCCAGAAUGCUCCCCAUUUGGGGAGAUGGCAGUCACCGAACGGCACAGCACUCAGGGCCUUUCACAAAGUGGCCCCAAACUACACAUCCCAUCUGCCAUGUCACCCUCUAAACCAGACCAGUUUCCAUUAGCAAGGACCCUCGUGCUGUCCCAAGAAGGCCACCAGGGCCCCUUCUUGAAACCUCAGCAGCUUCCAGCCCUGAGUGUUGUCCCCCCACCCCCUGCUCUCCACCUUGGUCAGUGGUUUCACCUGCUACUCAGUUGUCUAAGCCGAAAAUCGUGACCUUUUCUCUAAUUGUUCCUUCUCCCCCAACACAUGGCCUGGUAGGCAGUAGUAGGUGACAGGGAAUGUUUCCCAAGAAAUCCAUGUGCCCAAGAAAGGAGAAGUGGCCUUGGCAAUGUCGCCAGUCACAUCAGCAUUCUGUCCAAACUGACAUCCCAUGGAACUGGCUCUGCACUAGCCAAACACUGCUAACAUGGGGUACCCGUCUCCCCACACCUGCCCCAGGCAGCCCAGUUUGCCAUCAUGGGAGGCACAUGUUAGCUCAAAUUGCCUGAGUGGCUUGCUGUCACUGUUUUUACUCUUCUGGAGCUCCAUGAAACAGGUAUAUGUAACCCCUAAAGGUCCGUGUUCUCCCCAGGUCUCGGCUUCACCAGCCUCAGUCCAUCUCAUUUUGCAGUGCUUUCGGCUUUCCUGAGUUCUUCAGGUGCCACCUGGCAGCGGGUUUUCACCUCUCAGAUGAUGUCCACCAUGCUUUCCUUAAUGUAGCCUCCACAGGCAUGAGGGCUGUGGGGAAGGUGAGCAGCUUGAGACUUAUCUACAUCAUGGAAGGGUCCAAUGAGAUCUCAGCAUCAGAGCACCAGGGGAAACGUCACUGUGAGCUGACCCGUUUGGUUAGAGCACAUAAUGAAAGCCUAGCCAGGUAGGGGUGACAGCCAACCACCACAACGUGGGUGAAGCUGAACACAGAAAGCAUAUGCCUCCCUCUCCGUCCAGCCCCUGGGGUCUCCCCAGGGCCAAUUACUGGUUUGCACUUGGCCCUGGGGUCUCCCCAGGGCCAAUUACUGGUUUGCACUUGAUUACAGGGUUCAGUGACGGUACAAAAGGACAGUCUGUGGAAAGAGACCCAACUGUGCAGCUGACACAAAAAAACAGGCUGCUUGGCCCAAGGCUGACCAGUCAAUCGCCUUGUCUGGGAGCAAGAGAACAAACGAUUCUUCCAAAGACACCAGAGAAAAGGAGCCUGGUGUCUAGAUUCUUUUCUCCCCCAUGGGGGGAGAGGGAGGCGAGAGGUGGGUUGGGUUUUGCUUGUUUUGUUUCAAACCAAGAAAGGUAAGUAGAAUCCAUCAGAGAGAGGAGGAAAUAUGCAGAGAGGCAGUGGUCUAGACUCAGAAGACAAAGCACCAGUACUGAGCACAGCACUAGCAGAAUGGGUGGGCUCGGCCACUUACUGGCUGUAUAAUUUUGGACAAGUUAUUUUUGUCUAAGCCUCCAUUUCCUCAUCUGUAAAAGGAGAAAAUUUCUAGAUUCCCACAUUUGCGGUGGAGCUCAAAUCCCAUCCCUAAGAAAGGGCUUCUAUUAACUAAAAACAGUAGAUGAAAUGUUAUUUUUUCUAUGUGGUUACAAACUCACUAAUUAGGAGCCACAAUGUUUGCCACAAACAAGCCGGGUGGUUGGGAUGCUCGGCUUCAAUUCCUUGUCUGUGCAGUGCGAAGAACCACUGAUGCUCCUUCUCAUGCCUGGCCGGCAGACAGGAGCUGACACGGUGCCCAGGAGCGGGCUUUGCUAAGCGCUGUCUUCUACAAGGCCAGGUACUCGGUCUCCCUCACACACAGAUCACUGCUCUAGACCUCGCACGACCUGGGUUCAAAAGAAGGUCCUUUCCUCGGUUUCCCUCCAGGAUGAUGGCUGGUGGCUCAGGGGGAAAAGCCAGUUGCCAAGGAUAACGACGACCUGCGGUGAGGGAUUCCAAGGCGGUUCCCACAGGCACCUGCCCCUCAGCAGACACCCAGCUGCCAUUCAUUGGCAAAGGGGCAGGUGAAGUGGUUUGCAGCAGCAGGGGUCAAAACCAUUCAGCAGAGCGACUCACACCAGUAAUUCAGAGACCUGCAGCCAUCCAAGCGGACUCCUCAAGCACAGCCAGCCUCAGGGCAGGCCUCCUAACCCUGGGCUGGCCACCUUCCCGGAAGGCCCAUCUGGGGAAAGUCCUGGCAAUCAGAGCAGGCAGCUGCCCCCUCCCCCGCAUCUCUGCUUAGCACCACCCCAAACCUGGGCUGCUGCCCUUCCAUGCCCCUCUUCCUUUUACCCAGACAGACAAAGCCUCAGCAGCCUUCCUUGGGUCUGGCUCAAAUCUACGACACCCCCAUCACCAACCUCAGGCCAGAGCGUGUACUCAGAAAGCAUUAGCUAAAUGAAAACACCUCCAUUUCCCACUGAUACUCAAACAGAAAAACAAGCUCCAAAUACAAAAGCUUCCUCUGUUCAUACAGCCACACCUUAGUCCUCCAGUCUAUCUUGUUAGUUUGUUAAACAAUCUUUUUCAAUUGGUCUGAAAGAAAACAGCCCUAUUUUAGGCCCGGAUAUCUGCUCUAAAACGACCUCAAGACAGAGCCCAGACGGCAGCUCAGGCAUUUAGGACGGGUGUCUAAGCCUGUGACCUCAGAAGACCAUGUAAGGCCCCUGGCUGGGGGCGCUCAGGCUGUCACUCGGCCUCGCCCCUGCCCCUGCCGGCAUACCUCCUUCCUGCAUGCGGCCCGGGUGCCCCUAACCUUCAUCCCCAGACUUGUCCACAGCAUGGGGUAGUAGAAAGGGGCUUUGGCACCGAACAGAGCUGGGCUUCGUUCUUGACUCUAGCAUUUAACUCUAAGCCUCACUUUUCAUCUGUAAAAUAAGUGAUACCACCUCCAGAGGUUGGGUGAAAAUUAAGAAGAAUGUCCAAGUGCUUGGGACACACAAGAUACCAGUUUUGGCAUCUUCCCUCUUUCCUUUCUUCCACUCCUGCUUCUUCAAUCUGCUGCACACAGCCCAGAGUGACCUAAACUGAAGGCUACUGUUAAUUACCUGGGACGUUUAGCUGACAUUUUAAUGGAGAGACCGUUCAUCCAAACCAUACAAAAGGAUCAGGGGAGGAGAAGCUGAAAGCAGAGAGACUGGGCAGUGCUAGGAGAACUUCCUCACAGCAGCCAGGCUAAUCCUGUUACCUCCUCAGCCCGUCAGCAGCACAAGAGAAGAUUCAGCCCACACAGCUGAGCGAGGAUAUGCUGAUCAGACUUGCUUAGGCUGCCUGGGCAGGUGGUGGCAAUCUCCCCACUACCCACCAGCAGGCGGCACAGUUUGCAGAAACGGAGAAGUUCUGCCAAGAAAGACCAAGAGCCUCCUUAGAAAGACCAAGUAAUUAAGAUACUGACAGCUGAUUGGUCAAGGAAAAAAGGCCCGCCCUCAACCUUGGCUCAAUGAGGCAAUGAUUUCACCCAACAGCCACAGCUGAGGGAUGGAGUAACUUCUGCCAGGUCACCAGUUAUACAAAUAACUCGUAGGUUUAAGAAAAGCCUCUUGACUAUGACGCAAAUCUAUCUUACUUGCCUUUCAAGGUUAACACUCAGUCCUUGUCCACGCACUUUUUAUAACCUUAGAGCAACACAGAACUCCAUCUGUCUUCUCCACUUAGCUCAUCUACCGACAGACAGGGACGGUACCUCUCACCUUUCUUCAGAGGCUCCUGAUGUCUGACACAUGCUAGCAGAGAUGGACAGGAAGAUGUAUAUCCUUUAUUCAAUCCAAUAGCGUAGAUUUCACCAUCUACCCACUUUUCCUUUUGCUGAAGAGCAACUUACCAACUGUGUCUAGACAGACAGAUAAAUGGAUAGAUGGACAGAGAGACAGACUGAUAGAAAGGAGGCCUCAUGUGGUGAUGAAUGCAAAUUUAAGUGUUGAAGCAACCUUGGAAGAGAGAAGCUGCUAGAAUGCUCCUCAGAGAAGCGUCUGAGUUUGCAGACCUCUAAGCAUGCCACCCAGUCUCCUCUUUCUUUUCUGUGGUUUCUAAUAACUUGCUUUCUACCUGCCAGACACAGGUGAGCUCUGAGUGUUAGAUUCCAGGGCUAGCUGUAGUCAAACACACACUUUUUUCUUAGUGCCCUGGUAGGAAACUUGGAAUCAGCAUACUCUAAGCUCAGCCGUUUCAAAGUUUGAAGCACACUCAAAUCCCAAAGCAAGUGUAUGUUAUGAACCCCUGGCAGCAGACUGGCCAAUGGCGUCACCACCACAGCAGAAAGGCAGGCAUUUUCUCUCAGCAUGGCCCUGCAGUGACUCCAUACCAAGUGUUUGUGUUUCCUGUCUAACCCCCAGAUGCUAGGUCAGGCCUCUCCCAAAGCCUGGGAGCACCCCAAACCUGUCAGCACUAAGGGACCACUGCAGCUGCCCAACGAGCAAGCCACACACCUGCUUCUCAGCUACCUGCCAGCACAGCCCUGCCGCCCUCACGUGCUCGCUCUUGGUCACCUCAGUGGCUAUGGUAAGAACAGUGAACAGGUCCUAAGCACAAAGCACUUCAGUGUAUUAGCUCAUCUAAUUCCCAAGCCCCACGGGAAUUUGCUGGAGGGAGAGAAAUUCUUUGGCCCAGAUUCCCACAUGGUUUCUAUUCCCUAUUUCUAGCUGUGCUGGAAAGCUUACAUAACCUAAUUUGCAUUAUGGUGCUAUUUUUAAAAAUCUCCAAAGAUCACUGCUUCGAGCAUCAAUGGAAGCUGUUAGCUCCUACCUAAAAUGAUAAUGUGGGAAAGGAUAUCUAUUCUUACAACUAACUCAACUUGAAUUCUUGACUUAAAACUGUCUUUCUGGAAGAUGCUAUUAGGAAAGGAAGGGACUCAUAUAAGAAGCACUAGCUCUAUGCUCUGUAAAUAACUGCUAGCAAGAAACACAUCAAUAUUGAAACUCACCUCAGCAGGAUAGUUUCUUGGCAGACACUUGCAGGCCUCCUGGUAACACUGAGAAAUCUAUGGUCACUUGGUAACAUGGCAUCAGAUCAUUUAUAUAAUACGAGUUUGGAAAAAACACCGCCCUUCUUGUUCUGAUGACUUCAGACAGACCCCCACCCCCACCCCCACCCCCACCAAGGAGGCAAGGGCUUCAGCUCAAUAGGAAGACCGUUCACAGAGCAGGUUGUUUCAGCUUUAACUGUUCCUAAUGUCCCCAGUCUUUCUGGCUCUAGAUUGCUAGGGAACCUCCUUAGUUCAUUCCCCUAACUCACUGUGGAAAAUUUACCUCCACUGCAGUUAUUAACGAGAGCUAAGAAACAGGGAAGUUACAAUGGAUGACUGAUUAUAAGGAAAAAUUCCUCUUAUUUGUCAUAAAAAAAAACUGUGGUCAAUAUUUAAAUGAUCCGGUUUGUUCUUUGCUAUACUAUAAAAACUGAUGUAAAAGGACUCGGGUAUGUGUUAUUCAUUUCAUUCAGUUCACUUACUUGGAGAGCUGUCCAUGAACAUAAACCAGAGUUGGUUUCGGGCUGUCGAAACUGCCAGGGACAUAUUUAAAAUGAGUGAAUUUCCAAAUGAUGCCCAUUUCAGUUGAUGUCAGAGGGCCAUAUUAUUAAAUAAUUUAUAAAUAAACUUAAAUAAUUCUCUUUUGACACUGCUAAUGCAUUAUUUGCCUCCCAAACCAGGAUAUUUAUGAUAGGCCUGAUUCCACCAACGAGGAGAGUCUGACUUAAAGUGCUUCCACUGGGCACAGCCUGUUUUGCUAAUGCCCAGAGGAGGACCUGCAACGUAACGGGCACUCGGCUGUUUCAUCAGGGCUGGAAUGUGCUUGGGACUAGUCAGCUAGACCUCAUACAACCUUUUGUGGAUGCCAAAGCCACAUUCGACAUACAUACAGAUUCUGUAUGGGAAAGAAAGUUGUUCCAGCAACCUUCAAAGUUAGUAAUAAAAAGAAAACUGCUACUUAGAGACAAAUAUAAAACAUAAAAUUCAUUUUAAUCUCUAUAUAUAAAACACAGCCUUAGCACAGAACAUCUAACACAUAUGAAAUGCAUUUAUGGGACACACUAAACGAAGGAAAUCCUUAUUAAAAUAUUUGGCCUAACCCUCACAUCUUUUAAAUGAACUCCAUGAUGGUUAAGUAAGGUGGGAAAUAAAGUCAUCUAGCUACCUAACCUAGAAAAGACAGGUGAAUUGCCUUAAGUCUAUUUGGUCUCUGCAGACUGGGUCUCUACCAUUCUGAGUGUGGCCAAAGUUGGUUCUGCAAAUAGUUAGCUUAACUCAGUCAAUUAUAUAUUUUUCCAUAGUUACCUUAAUAUUUUGGUUUUUUUUGUUUUCUAUUGCUUUUUUUUUUUUAUGGCUUCUUGCUGCUGUUGUAUUAGGGCAUACAACACAGAUCAGAGAUUUUCAUUUCUCAGAGAAGCUUCUCUCCUUGAGAAAUUGGCACUUCGAUCCCCAGCUUGUAUAACAGCUACAUGUAAAUGGGUCCCGUCCCACCAGCACUGCUGCCAAUCUUACUGCUCAUGAAAUUCCAGCACUUUGGCCAAAAGAGUGCCUUGACAUUAAACCUUCUUAGGUGAACUCUUUCCACCACUGGAUUCUUUUAUUUAAACGGGUACGUGUGUGGGGUUCACAUAUAUGUUCUAUCACAAGUUUCUACACACAUACACACACUUAACUCAGCAAAAGUGAAGUCUCUCUCAAAUAGAAAGUAAUCACAAGGAUAUUAAAACAAAUGCUGAAAAUAAUUAUUUUACAUUUAGAUCACAAAAAUUUUUAAGGUAAAGUGAUGACAUAAGACCUAAGAGAUCAAAUACAUCAUAUAUGAUUGUCAUAUAUGCAUGUUGUGUUCAUUGAUUUUUAAUUACUUUUCUCUUUAAUCAGAAAAUAAAAGAGCUUACCUUUGAAUACUGAGACCACAGCUUACAGCCACUAUAUCUCAGCCUAUUUUAUACAAGUGAUAUGGCUACGAAGGUCCGAGGAGAACGAGAAUAAAGUGAGAUAAACGUGCUGAAAACUGCUUAAAAGUAUUAACCUGAAAUACACAGAGGGUCCAACACCAGUUUUAAAAAUACAUUAACGAGGUUAACAAUUUGAGAGGCUCCAAAGGACUCCAGGGCCCCUCACCUCCCGGCACCACGCUCUGCAUCUAGUCAGCAUGAGGUCAGCAAAACGAAUCAAUGAAACAUGAAAACUCCCAGCUGAAAUGGGCCCUCUUGUUUAUGUCUAGCCACUAAUGCACAGGAUGAGAAUGGUAAGUUCACAGCUAUUUCUAGCAAGUGAUGAGGUUUUAUUAAAGUAUCACCCACCACUAAUAAAGACAAAAAGUCAAGGAGCAGAAGUAACCAACAAACCAUUGUGUAAUAAGUAUACAUUUGAGAAGUGACGCUAACAUUUGUUUUAAAUUGCCCAUUUCACUUUUGUUUAGUGGUCCCAAAGAAAUCUGAUACAUAAAUUUGCCGUACUGUGUGUAGCCCAUUCUCACUGAUGGGCAGUGUUCAGCUCCGAAAAACAGAAUUCAAAAGGGAAGAGGAAACCUAAUUCAUACUAAAAAGGGGCAUUUUUAAGACACGGCAACUUGUAAAUACCGACAUGGGACCACACACUGUUGCCUUCAUGGGGGUGAGUACCUUAAUGAAACCAUUACCUUCUAGUAACAUCAUAGGCUUUCCAAACAAGGUGAGAAUGCACGUGGAGGACUCAGGUCUGCACCCUUUCCAGAACAGCACCAUGUUACCGACCGGUUGUUUUCACCAGCUUAACCGGUGUCUUAGGGAUAACUGCUGACCCAUGGCUGAAACCUGUCGCUUUUCACAGCAGCACUCCACAAGAACUGGGACAAUCGAAGAGCAAGUUUCAUGGGGACCCUGUUGCUGCUUUCGAUUCUGAUGUGAUUGAAGAGGAAAAGAGGACCCUUCAGUGAAUCCCGGAAACACUGCUAACCUUCUAUCUUGUGAAAAAGCCAGGGAGUGAACACAGUACCUUACAGAGUGAAGAAGGCCACAAGAACAGGAGAGGGUGAUUGAUCGAUUAAUUUAUUAUUUUGUAAAACUUGGAAAUUCGGAAACUAGAAUAAUCACAUUCCUCCUUUCCCAUCUGGGGUAGUGCCAUCAUUUGAAUAAGCAAUGCUCUGGUGACAGACUAGACCUUGGUCAUGGGGCGGCCCUUGCACAGCAGGAGCACAAAGGGCUUACAGAAUAAGCAGACUGCUCCGCCUAACGACCACCUUUGUUUUAGCAGUUUGCUUACAAAUGAAUGGGGUUUCUAGGGCUAAGUUAUUAUUAGUUUUCAAUUCCUUGUAAUUUGAUACCAAAACAUAUCAAAAAUAAUAAGCUAAAACAAUAUUCAAACCCAUAUUUUAUUGGCUUUAAUUACACACUGCAAUAUUUACAAAGUUAAAGUUUAAAUGAAAAGUGUCUAUUGUAUUAAAAAAAAUAACUACAGCCCGAAUUAAAGUGCCCUGGGGCAAAUACAUGUCAAUCAGCUAAGAAUCAGUGACUGCGUCAGGAACCAGGCAGUACUCUGUGUUACAACAAAGCAGUUUAUUUGUGAUCAGUGUUUGAGACUCUAUACAUCCUUCACAAAUUUAAUUUUACAUAAUCUGAUACUCUUAAACUUUGAACUGCUAGACUUAUUUCCCUACAGCAGAAGGGCUGGUAUAAGUUAUUUUCCGGAAAUGAGGUACCGUUUCACAGAACUAGUUUCUUUUUUUUGUUUUGUUUUCAAGUUUUAGAGAACUAAAUUUGCAUUUGUUAAAAUCAAAAA